CUCCCUAAAUCUUCGUUGUAGGAGUGUCAUUUUUGCUGAUAAGGUUGGAUUAUUACUGAGGAAUCCUAGGGGUA
This 74-nucleotide transfer RNA is filed under the name Dendropoma gregarium. Its description in RNAcentral is "tRNA-Lys". Lineage: Eukaryota; Metazoa; Mollusca; Gastropoda; Littorinimorpha; Vermetidae. The record is from RNAcentral.